Long non-coding RNA from Acanthochromis polyacanthus (spiny chromis), 2762 nucleotides. RefSeq lists it as uncharacterized. The transcript has 2 exons. The record is from RefSeq and is a predicted model, not a curated record. Lineage: Eukaryota; Metazoa; Chordata; Actinopteri; Pomacentridae.
UUAUAUGUUGCUUUGUGUAUUGUUUUGUCGUUUUGGGUCAUUUUUUGUCAUUUUGUGUCAUUUGUUUGUUGCUUUGUAACCUUUUUGUCAAAUUUUUUCGUCUCCUUUUUGUUUUGUUUCAUGCCGUUUGUCUCAUUUUUUUGUCAUUUUGUGUUUCGUUUUGGUCAUUUUGCAUCUCGUUUUUGUAAUACUUUGUCUCAUCUUUGUCAUUUUGAUCAUAAAGUAAAAUCCUACAUCAUUCAGUUCCAGAUGACUAAAUGUUGUGUUCCUUUGUAGACACUCUGAUCUGGAAGUUGUGAUGUGGAAAUGAUAAACUGAGGAUGAAUGUUGUUGAAAUGGAAUUUAUUUUUCUUACCAAAUUUCAGGAUGUUCUUAAUGUUUUGUAAAAGAUAAUUCCUUAAAUGUGAACAUUUUCAGAGUGUACUUUUCUGCACUCAAACAAAGGAAAGAAGUUGUGGUUAUUUAUAGGUUAUUUCUAGGUUAUUUUGUUGUGAUUUUACUGGAGGUCAAAUUGAGCUGAAUGUGGAACCUGAACUAAAAUGAGUUUGAAGCCGUUGUUCUAAUGCACAUAGAAAAUAAAAAGAGUGCAAAAUGGAAAAAAAAUUCAAUGUAAUUUUAAAAUACUGCACAGAAAUUUCAAAGAUCUCACUGAGGUUUAGAUCAUCUGAGGUUUUCGAACUCCCACGACGGUGGAAAGAGUCGCCUUGAACCUCGAUUUAAAUGUAUGCAGUAGUGGAUAAUUAAUAACAAUCCUCUUCUCUCUUUUUAUCUCUGCGAUUAAAUGCACUCAGAACCUUCACAACUCCAAGAGAAAAAGACUCGGAUAAGGAGACGGAGAAAAGCACUUGGCGUUUCCAGACAGACAGACUGAGAGACAGAUGGGCAGCGAUAGAUUCUUUCAGGGACAUAAACAUGCCAAUACACGAGGAAUAAUCACGACCGGAGCCCCGACGCCGCCUCUAAUCAUCACUGUGAUCAUAAAACCGCUUCGAUGUGUCGUGUUUCAGAACUCAGUUGUCAUUCAGACGCCUCCAACUUCACCAAAAACCUGAGAAAUGAUUCGAAUCCGAGUGCCGGGAAACUCUCCGCGACCUUUUCUAACGUGGAAGCGUCCCGUGGAGACGCGUCCGACUUUCCUCCAGGUCAUUUUCCACCUCGUGUUCGCUUGUUUUGUGUGCUUUGUGUUUGGCUUUAUGCACCAAACACUUCGCUGACCUUCCACAGUGUCAGUCUGACUGGAAACACGGAGGCAGCGAGAGGAAAGACGGAAAAAAGAUUGUUUGGAAAGAUGCAGUUUGAGUCAAUAGAAGGUCAGUGGAGGUGCAGCUUUGUUGCAUUAAUGCCAAAUGUUGGUAUUUAUUUAUUUACUAGAGAUUUUUUAUUAAAUCCUUUAUCUGUAUCUUAUCACAACAUGUGUUUACUGCACAUCUACAGAUUCUUAUUAGGACCGAAUGGUGUCUAGAACCCUAUUGGAACCCAUGGUUUUUUUUCUUAUUAUCAUUUUUAAUUCUUCUCGUGGACUUUUGAAAGUUUAAAAAUGCUUGAAAAUAAGCUACCUGGAAAAUUUCAAACAUUUAAUUAAGCCAAUACGUGUCACGUAGAUUCAUGAAAUUUGGUACACAUGGAACUCGUCAAGACGCACAAAAAUGCAAAACACAACAUUUUGAGUUAUGUGUCAUAUUUUGCACGAUUUUGGAACAUUUUUGCACAUUUUCAAAAGCUAUAAACUCAAAGGAGGUAAUAAUGGGAAACCUCAAAUAGGGCCAGGAUGAACAACCGGUCGUUUUGAUCAAAAGUAAUCAAAACGCUCCACAAACAUCUGAGGGCAUAGAAAUGGUGGAAUUUCAACAAUUCGCCAUGAAACAGACAUGUAAAAAAUGCAAAAAAUAAACUAGUAGUUCUACAGAUUUACGUUUAAUAUCCCACUUUUGCUGAUGGUUGCUUUGGAGAAGAGGUCAGUCAAUUUGUGCCACAUUUAAAGCAUAAAAUGCAUAAUGUUGAUUUUCUGCAACAGAUUUUCAUUACGUGCACAUUUUUAAGUAGAAAACUGUCCUGUGACUUCAUCAGAAGGUGUAUUUUGGACAUUUUAAGCCUUAAUAAUGAGACAAAUAAUAUCAGUGUAAACGCAUGAAAAUGAUCCCUGUUAGACAGAAAAUGGUUCCGUUGCUUUAAAACUGCAGAUUUGAUUAAUUUCUUACUCUUUGUAACUGCUCGCCUGUAGAUUCACAAAUUUUAGAUUUUUAUAAAGUAUUUUCUGAGCAAUAUCUAUUGGAAACAUUUUCUUUGGGUUUAAUAAAGUUUUAUUUUAUCUUGAUGAUAAAUUUUUCUAUUUUUCUUUUAGGAAAUCCUGUUUUUUCACCGUGAUGUGGCUAAAGGCUCCAAAGGACCUGCUUCAGAGAAGAGAGUGAUAAUUAAAGAUUUUCAUUAAGUGCACAUCUUUACAUCUUUUCUGGAUACUAAAUGAAGACGCUGCUUUAAAGUUGAUGUUGCAGACAGAACUUGAAUCAACUUUAAACCGUCAGAGAAACUUCCACAGUGACGGUGAGGCGAUGAUCUUCUCUACAGAAGAAAUAAAUCCAAACUGCAGGGUUUUUUUUACCAUUCUUCACCAUUUUCGGCAACACAUUUUUUAUGUGCACACAGAAAACCUCUCAUGUUGCUUCACUAAAUGGUGUAUUUUAGCAGCAGCAGUAAUGUAGAAUAGCAGGUGUAGCACAGAGACGCCUGCUGGAUACUAAAUAAAGACACUCCUUUAAAGCUGA